Molecule: ribosomal RNA, 463 nt
Filed under: uncultured Clostridia bacterium
Lineage: Bacteria; Bacillati; Bacillota; Clostridia
Description: bacterial SSU rRNA
Rfam family: Bacterial small subunit ribosomal RNA
Source: RNAcentral
UGAGGAAUAUUCCGCAAUGGGGGAAACCCUGACGGAGCAAUGCCGCGUGAGUGAAGAAGGCCUUUGGGUCGUAAAACUCUGUCUUGAGGGACGAAAAAAAUGACGGUACCUCAAAAGAAAGCCCCGGCUAACUACGUGCCAGCAGCCGCGGUAAAACGUAGGGGGCGAGCGUUGUCCGGAAUUACUGGGCGUAAAGGGCGUGCAGGCGGCCUGUGUAGUCAAGCGGUGAAAACCCGGGGCUUAACUUCGGGAUGGCCCUUGAAACCAACAGGCUUGAGGACAGGAGAGGGGAGUGGAAUUUCCGGUGUAGCGGUGAAAUGCGUAGAUACCGGAAGGAACACCAGUGGCGAAGGCGGCUCCCUGGACUGGUCCUGACGCUGAGGCGCGAAAGCGUGGGGAGCAAACAGGAUUAGAUACCCUGGUAGUCCACGCCGUAAACGAUGGGUGCUAGGGAAGCGGGUAU